GACGAACGCUGGCGGCGUGCCUAAUACAUGCAAGUAGAACGCUGAAGAGAGGAGCUUGCUCUUCUUGGAUGAGUUGCGAACGGGUGAGUAACGCGUAGGUAACCUGCCUUGUAGCGGGGGAUAACUAUUGGAAACGAUAGCUAAUACCGCAUAACAAUAGGUGACACAUGUCAUUUAUUUGAAAGGGGCAAUUGCUCCACUACAAGAUGGACCUGCGUUGUAUUAGCUAGUAGGUGAGGUAACGGCUCACCUAGGCGACGAUACAUAGCCGACCUGAGAGGGUGAUCGGCCACACUGGGACUGAGACACGGCCCAGACUCCUACGGGAGGCAGCAGUAGGGAAUCUUCGGCAAUGGGGGCAACCCUGACCGAGCAACGCCGCGUGAGUGAAGAAGGUUUUCGGAUCGUAAAGCUCUGUUGUAAGUCAAGAACGAGUGUGAGAGUGGAAAGUUCACACUGUGACGGUAGCUUACCAGAAAGGGACGGCUAACUACGUGCCAGCAGCCGCGGUAAUACGUAGGUCCCGAGCGUUGUCCGGAUUUAUUGGGCGUAAAGCGAGCGCAGGCGGUUUGAUAAGUCUGAAGUUAAAGGCUGUGGCUCAACCAUAGUUCGCUUUGGAAACUGCCAAACUUGAGUGCAGAAGGGGAGAGUGGAAUUCCAUGUGUAGCGGUGAAAUGCGUAGAUAUAUGGAGGAACACCGGUGGCGAAAGCGGCUCUCUGGUCUGUAACUGACGCUGAGGCUCGAAAGCGUGGGGAGCGAACAGGAUUAGACACCCUGGUAGUCCACGCCGUAAACGAUGAGUGCUAGGUGUUGGAUCCUUUCCGGGAUUCAGUGCCGCAGCUAACGCAUUAAGCACUCCGCCUGGGGAGUACGACCGCAAGGUUGAAACUCAAAGGAAUUGACGGGGGCCCGCACAAGCGGUGGAGCAUGUGGUUUAAUUCGAAGCAACGCGAAGAACCUUACCAGGUCUUGACAUCCCGAUGCUAUUUCUAGAGAUAGAAAGUUACUUCGGUACAUCGGUGACAGGUGGUGCAUGGUUGUCGUCAGCUCGUGUCGUGAGAUGUUGGGUUAAGUCCCGCAACGAGCGCAACCCCUAUUGUUAGUUGCCAUCAUUCAGUUGGGCACUCUAGCGAGACUGCCGGUAAUAAACCGGAGGAAGGUGGGGAUGACGUCAAAUCAUCAUGCCCCUUAUGACCUGGGCUACACACGUGCUACAAUGGUUGGUACAACGAGUUGCGAGUCGGUGACGGCAAGCUAAUCUCUUAAAGCCAAUCUCAGUUCGGAUUGUAGGCUGCAACUCGCCUACAUGAAGUCGGAAUCGCUAGUAAUCGCGGAUCAGCACGCCGCGGUGAAUACGUUCCCGGGCCUUGUACACACCGCCCGUCACACCACGAGAGUUUGUAACACCCGAAGUCGGUGAGGUAACCUUUUGGAGCCAGCCGCCUAAGGUGGGAUAGAUGAUUGGGGUGAAAU
RNAcentral lists this ribosomal RNA (1474 nucleotides) under uncultured organism. RNAcentral describes it as "SSU rRNA". It matches the Rfam family "Bacterial small subunit ribosomal RNA". The record is from RNAcentral.